GGGUUGUGAGGUUAAGCGACUAAGCGUACACGGUGGAUGCCCUGGCAGUCAGAGGCGAUGAAGGACGUGCUAAUCUGCGAUAAGCGUCGGUAAGGUGAUAUGAACCGUUAUAACCGGCGAUUUCCGAAUGGGGAAACCCAGUGUGUUUCGACACACUAUCAUUAACUGAAUCCAUAGGUUAAUGAGGCGAACCGGGGGAACUGAAACAUCUAAGUACCCCGAGGAAAAGAAAUCAACCGAGAUUCCCCCAGUAGCGGCGAGCGAACGGGGAGCAGCCCAGAGCCUGAAUCAGUGUGUGUGUUAGUGGAAGCGUCUGGAAAGGCGUGCGAUACAGGGUGACAGCCCCGUACACAAAAAUGCACAUAUUGUGAGCUCGAUGAGUAGGGCGGGACACGUGGUAUCCUGUCUGAAUAUGGGGGGACCAUCCUCCAAGGCUAAAUACUCCUGACUGACCGAUAGUGAACCAGUACCGUGAGGGAAAGGCGAAAAGAACCCCGGCGAGGGGAGUGAAAAAGAACCUGAAACCGUGUACGUACAAGCAGUGGGAGCACGCUUAGGCGUGUGACUGCGUACCUUUUGUAUAAUGGGUCAGCGACUUAUAUUCUGUAGCAAGGUUAACCGAAUAGGGGAGCCGAAGGGAAACCGAGUCUUAACUGGGCGUUAAGUUGCAGGGUAUAGACCCGAAACCCGGUGAUCUAGCCAUGGGCAGGUUGAAGGUUGGGUAACACUAACUGGAGGACCGAACCGACUAAUGUUGAAAAAUUAGCGGAUGACUUGUGGCUGGGGGUGAAAGGCCAAUCAAACCGGGAGAUAGCUGGUUCUCCCCGAAAGCUAUUUAGGUAGCGCCUCGUGAAUUCAUCUCCGGGGGUAGAGCACUGUUUCGGCAAGGGGGUCAUCCCGACUUACCAACCCGAUGCAAACUGCGAAUACCGGAGAAUGUUAUCACGGGAGACACACGGCGGGUGCUAACGUCCGUCGUGAAGAGGGAAACAACCCAGACCGCCAGCUAAGGUCCCAAAGUCAUGGUUAAGUGGGAAACGAUGUGGGAAGGCCCAGACAGCCAGGAUGUUGGCUUAGAAGCAGCCAUCAUUUAAAGAAAGCGUAAUAGCUCACUGGUCGAGUCGGCCUGCGCGGAAGAUGUAACGGGGCUAAACCAUGCACCGAAGCUGCGGCAGCGAC
Molecule: ribosomal RNA, 1179 nt
Filed under: Escherichia coli
Lineage: Bacteria; Pseudomonadati; Pseudomonadota; Gammaproteobacteria; Enterobacterales; Enterobacteriaceae
Description: bacterial LSU rRNA
Rfam family: Bacterial large subunit ribosomal RNA
Source: RNAcentral